Molecule: ribosomal RNA, 1163 nt
Filed under: Salmonella enterica
Lineage: Bacteria; Pseudomonadati; Pseudomonadota; Gammaproteobacteria; Enterobacterales; Enterobacteriaceae
Description: partial 23S ribosomal RNA
Rfam family: Bacterial large subunit ribosomal RNA
Source: RNAcentral
GGGAUGCUGGAGGUAUCAGAAGUGCGAAUGCUGACAUAAGUAACGAUAAUGCGGGUGAAAAACCCGCACGCCGGAAGACCAAGGGUUCCUGUCCAACGUUAAUCGGGGCAGGGUGAGUCGACCCCUAAGGCGAGGCCGAAAGGCGUAGUCGAUGGGAAACAGGUUAAUAUUCCUGUACUUGGUGUUACUGCGAAGGGGGGACGGAGAAGGCUAUGUUGGCCGGGCGACGGUUGUCCCGGUUUAAGCGUGUAGGUGUGUGUUCCAGGUAAAUCCGGUUCACUUUAACACUGAGGCGUGAUGACGAGGCACUACGGUGCUGAAGCAACAAAUGCCCUGCUUCCAGGAAAAGCCUCUAAGCAUCAGGUAACAUCAAAUCGUACCCCAAACCGACACAGGUGGUCAGGUAGAGAAUACCAAGGCGCUUGAGAGAACUCGGGUGAAGGAACUAGGCAAAAUGGUGCCGUAACUUCGGGAGAAGGCACGCUGAUAUGUAGGUGAAGUGGUUUACCCAUGGAGCUGAAAUCAGUCGAAGAUACCAGCUGGCUGCAACUGUUUAUUAAAAACACAGCACUGUGCAAACACGAAAGUGGACGUAUACGGUGUGACGCCUGCCCGGUGCCGGAAGGUUAAUUGAUGGGGUUAUCCGUAAGGAGAAGCUCUUGAUCGAAGCCCCGGUAAACGGCGGCCGUAACUAUAACGGUCCUAAGGUAGCGAAAUUCCUUGUCGGGUAAGUUCCGACCUGCACGAAUGGCGUAAUGAUGGCCAGGCUGUCUCCACCCGAGACUCAGUGAAAUUGAACUCGCUGUGAAGAUGCAGUGUACCCGCGGCAAGACGGAAAGACCCCGUGAACCUUUACUAUAGCUUGACACUGAACACUGGUCCUUGAUGUGCAGGAUAGGUGGGAGGCUUUGAAGCGCGGACGCCAGUUCGUGUGGAGCCAUCCUUGAAAUACCACCCUUUAAUGGCUGGUGUUCUAACGUAGACCCGUGAUCCGGGUUGCGGACAGUGUCUGGUGGGUAGUUUGACUGGGGCGGUCUCCUCCUAAAGAGUAACGGAGGAGCACGAAGGUUAGCUAAUCCUGGUCGGACAUCAGGAGGUUAGUGCAAAGGCAUAAGCUAGCUUGACUGCGAGCGUGACGGCGCGAGCAGGUGCGAAAGCAGGUC